This 1163-nucleotide ribosomal RNA is filed under the name Calonarius ochraceopallescens. RNAcentral describes it as "eukaryotic LSU rRNA". The stretch from base 567 to 1163 matches the Rfam family "Eukaryotic large subunit ribosomal RNA", at positions 1 to 598 of the family's 3401-position model. The record is from RNAcentral. Lineage: Eukaryota; Fungi; Basidiomycota; Agaricomycetes; Agaricales; Cortinariaceae.
UUGUUGCUGGUUCUCUAGGGAGCAUGUGCACACUUGUCAUCUUUGUAUCUUCACCUGUGCACAUUUUGUAGACCUGAGUAUCUCUCUGAAUGCUUUAUGGCACUCAGGAUUGAGAGUUGACUUUUUGUCUCUUCUUAUAUUCUCAGGUCUAUGUUUUUCAUAUACCCCAAUGUAUGUUUAUAGAAUGUAAUUAAUAGGCCUUUGUGCCUAUAAACCUUUACAACUUUCAGCAACGGAUCUCUUGGCUCUCGCAUCGAUGAAGAACGCAGCGAAAUGCGAUAAGUAAUGUGAAUUGCAGAAUUCAGUGAAUCAUCGAAUCUUUGAACGCACCUUGCGCUCCUUGGUAUUCCGAGGAGCAUGCCUGUUUGAGUGUCAUUAAUAAUAUCAACCUCUUUGGUUGGAUGUGGGUUUGCUGGCCUUUUUGAGGUCAGCUCCCCUUAAAUGCAUUAGCGGACAACAUUUUGCCAACUGUUCUUUGGUGUGAUAAUUAUCUACGCCAUUGAUGUGAAGCAAAGGUUCGGCUUCUAACAGUCCAUUGACUUGGACAAACUCUUUUCUUAUUAAUGUGACCUCAAAUCAGGUAGGACUACCCGCUGAACUUAAGCAUAUCAAUAAGCGGAGGAAAAGAAACUAACAAGGAUUCCCCUAGUAACUGCGAGUGAAGCGGGAAAAGCUCAAAUUUAAAAUCUGAUAGUCUUUGGCUGUCCGAGUUGUAAUCUAGAGAAGCAUUAUCCGCGCUGGACCGUGUACAAGUCUCCUGGAAUGGAGCGUCAUAGAGGGUGAGAAUCCCGUCUUUGACACGGACUGCCAGGGCUUUGUGAUGUGCUCUCAAAGAGUCGAGUUGUUUGGGAAUGCAGCUCAAAAUGGGUGGUAAAUUCCAUCUAAAGCUAAAUAUUGGCGAGAGACCGAUAGCGAACAAGUACCGUGAGGGAAAGAUGAAAAGAACUUUGGAAAGAGAGUUAAACAGUACGUGAAAUUGCUGAAAGGGAAACGCUUGAAGUCAGUCGCGUUGUCCAGGGAUCAAUCUUGCUUUUGCUUGGUGUACUUUCUGGUUAACGGGUCAGCAUCAAUUUUGACUAUUGGAAAAAGAUUAAGGGAAUGUGGCAUCCUUGGAUGUGUUAUAGCCCUUGGUUGCAUACAAUAGUUAGGAUUGAGGAACUCAG